AAUCCAGCCCUGAGCUCCGCCACCCACUGAUCCCACCGUUGCUACAGGCACCAUGUAGCCCAGCCGGGCCGUCCACCCAACGUCGAAGCGCCCCGCGAGGCCUCAGCCAGACUCCUUCACCACCGGAGCCGAAGCGUUCAGUGGGCCUCCGCCGGAUUCCUCCUCGGUCGGGUCGCUCUCACCCACGGAUGCCCUUUCCACUGCUAUUUCUGAUGAAACACGCAACAAACGAAAGGUUGUCCUAGCUUUUGCAAUAUAUACUUAUGGAAACACAGGAGGUAGUUGGACGUUUUGUUGGUAUUUUCCAUCUUAUAUGUGUAGUCUAGAAAAAAAUAUUUUCCUUGUUUAAGAACUUGGUGAAAGGUAGAUACUAGGGGUACUGCAAAGGCAACACGGUAAGAAAGACAUACCUCUGAAUGUGCCUGAAUAUAUGCAGAAAGAAAUUCACCAGCCUGGGAAAUUAUAUCAAUAAGCAGCGCUGUACAGUCCACUAGUGCUCUCUUUUCCUCCAGCUGCUUCCGUGAAUUUCCAUUUUGAGAUUUCUCCCAUCUAAGGGCAAUAGAGCUUCUAAAUAUACGAUGCAUCAGAAUACUAAAUCCAUCCUGCUUAACAUUGCCGUUUAUUUUGGAUGAACAUUCCCCACGGAUCUGUUCUUGAGCUGCCAGUAAUAAAACUGCGGACUGUAUAAGCUUGCCAUCCUCCAUGUACUUCCAAAGCUCAUCAACUAGAUUAUCUGUUUUUGUUGCAAGCAGUCUAGUUGUAUCCAAGAAGAUCUUCUGUAAAAACACAUCAAGGAACGAAACUUAAAUGUCUUUUCGCCACCCAUAUGCAAGCAAGCAAUACUGACUAACUUCAUAUUUGUUACCUUGUUUCCUCCAACCAAACUAACUAUGGAUUAGGAUUAGUUGAUAUACUUGAAAGAAAUAUUCACUUGCUGACUAUCCUUAAACUAAAUAUAAGAAUAUGCUCUACAGCAUAAAUACAUACAAAAGAUAGCACACCAGAGAUGUUCCAUCUCUGACAAGCAGAUAUCAUUAUAACUGAUUUGUGUUCUACGACAUGGGACUCUCUUUAAAAUAAAUAUAAGGAUAUGCUAUGCUAACACAUAAAUACAUAACAAAAGAUAGCAAAGGAGAGCAGUUCCAUCUCUGAAAAGUAGAUAUCAUUAUAACUGAUUUUUUGUUCUAUGACAUGACCAGAACUACCUUUUAUAUCAAUUAUGCAGUGAGAAUGGUAUUUGACUAUGUGUAGAGGGAAGUGGAACAAACCAUUUCAGGUAGACACAGAAGAUGGAUAAGCUUGUAGAUAUAAUUCUGAUGAUUCUGAAUAGGAUAUAGAUUGUCCUCUAUAUACUUAUGCAGGCAAGUAUUCUCAACUGCAACAUGAAGUGGGAGUAGGUCCUCAAUUAUGUUAGCACCAAUGGUGCGUACAUUGGCAGAUGCACCGUGACGGAAGAGUAACUUGAUCAUGUCAACAGAGAAUCUUUCAGCAGCUUCAUGGAGAGGGAAGUAUCCGUACGGGUUAAUGCAGUUUGGAUUGGCAUGCAUCCCAUUGAGCUCAGGUACCUUGCACUCCAAUGCAACUUUCACACAUCGUAGCGCAUUAUGACUGACCAUGUGGAUUAAUGUUUGUGCAGUGAUGGCAAAAUCCCAUGACAUUUCCUAGCUUCUUGACAAAUAAGCGGAGGAAGCUCCGGACGCUAUCCUUUUCUAGGAUGGGCCCCAACUCGGAAGUUAUAUCAUAAAAUUCAUCACGCACCCACUAGAUACAUCCAUGCACAAUUGAAAAAGGUGAAAAGCAAUCAGUUAUCACUUUAACAGAGCAAAGCACAAAGGUCUUGUGGAUGUGCAUUUGUGACAAUAAUAGAUACACUUUUCAGCAGUCAAAACUUAAAUGCCCCGUAAUACUACAUAUUUGAAAUGAAAUAACCGAAGGACAGCUGAGUUCUGCAAUUUAAACCUUGGGAGUAGGGUCUGGGAUGGUUAUAUCAUUUGGUCUGGACUUGGCAAUCAAAAAAGCAGGACGAAAAACCUAAAAGAGGGAAAUAUCAAAGAGUCAGGGGAGAAAAUAGAAGGGCAGAGGAAGAUUAUACUGAUGAGUAGUUGCAAUACCUCCUAAACCUUCGCAAGAUCCACAUCUCCAGGGACUUUAACAGAAGGGCAAGGAUGCCACACAUUCUCAGAAAAAGCCUUAGGUUUCAAUUCCAUUGUUCUUUUGUCUAAAACAAGUUCAGUCUCAAGUAAGUCCCCACACUAUAUUAUAAUUUCAUAUUUUCAGCAAUAUAGUGUAAUAAAAACAAUGAUCCUCAAGAUCAUGAGCAUGAAUACAAAAAAAGGGCCUUAUAUUAAAAAAUGAAACACGCAUCACUCAAACAUAUAUUCAGUAAACGGAGAAUACUAUACUUGCUCCACAUAUGUGGAUGAUAACAGCGUUAUUGUCUGGGCGCAGGCGCUGCGAGGAAGAUCGGCGGUUCACAGCAACCAGCUCCACCGAUGAAUCUCCGCAAACGCGCUGAGAGAGAGCGGCGAGAGAUGGAGGAGCUGAAAAAAGUAAAUCUCACCGGCUCCUUCUCCCUUCUCACGCGGGAUGGACGCCGCUGCCCCUAGAUCCAUGCGCUGCGGCUCCUCCUCCCUCCUCACGCGCGUAGCCGGCGACGGAGAAGCAGCCUGGUGGCCAGGAAAGACGGAGGGAGGCGGGGUGGCGAUGAGAGGCGAGACGGCGCGGGAUACCGCGAUACCGUUCAUCAGGCAUCCAACGGCAACACACAGGAAGAUGCUUUGCUCUGGUUUGGGCCAAAAACGUGGUGUCCGGCCUGCUUCCUAAGGCCUAUUUGCAUAUGAACCUGAGGGGUAAAAAACACGCGAGACUGACGGGGAAAGGUGCCAGGACGACGAAAACGGCGCGAGACAGACGGAAAAGGGUGGGAGAUCGACGGAAAAGGGCAGGAGGAGCCAUUGACUGUCGCCUCGCCGGACGCCUUGCCGGACAGGAGAAGCUUCCCUGCACUGUGAUCUUGUGUGUCAUGUGCAGUAGUUGCCUUCCUUUUGCGAUGGUGAAUACUGGCAGCCCCUAUUGCACUACCGUUGGUGGUACAACACCUGGGUGGGCAAACCCCCCUUCCAGCCGUGGCCUGGCUCUUCGGCGGCGGUGGCGGCGAUGAGCGAGCUGCGAUACGGUGUUGUGGGCGGCUGCGGCGGCGAGACGACACCAGCAUCAACAUUAUUUUUUUCUUUUAUGUGUAUAGCAAAUAGACUUGUAGUAAUAGUAAUCUGGGCUAUUUGGUUAUGGGCCGGACGACCAUCAUGGCUAAACGUAUGGUCCAAUUUGCUUGUU
Long non-coding RNA from Panicum virgatum (switchgrass), 3333 nucleotides. RefSeq lists it as uncharacterized. Lineage: Eukaryota; Viridiplantae; Streptophyta; Magnoliopsida; Poales; Poaceae. The record is from RefSeq and is a predicted model, not a curated record. The transcript has 3 exons.